RNAcentral lists this ribosomal RNA (458 nucleotides) under uncultured Sphingobacteriales bacterium. RNAcentral describes it as "bacterial SSU rRNA". It matches the Rfam family "Bacterial small subunit ribosomal RNA", at positions 923 to 1382 of the family's 1533-position model. The record is from RNAcentral. Lineage: Bacteria; Pseudomonadati; Bacteroidota; Sphingobacteriia; Sphingobacteriales.
GCACAAGCGGUGGAGCAUUGUGGUUUAAUUCGAUGAUACGCGAGGAACCUUACCUGGGCUCAAAUGUAUGUUGACGUAUUCUGAAAGGGAUACUUCUUCGGACAAUAUACAAGGUGCUGCAUGGUUGUCGUCAGCUCGUGCCGUGAGGUGUCGGGUUAAGUCCCAUAACGAGCGCAACCCCUAUCAUUAGUUGCCAUCAGGUCAAGCUGGGGACUCUAAUGAAACUGCCUACGCAAGUAGUGAGGAAGGUGGGGAUGACGUCAAAUCAUCAUGCCCCUUAUGACCUGGGCUACAAACGUGAUACAAUGGCUGGAACAAAGGGAUGCGAAGCAGUGAUGUGGAGCGAAACCCAUAAAAACAGUCUCAGUUCGGAUUGAAGUCUGCAACUCGACUUCAUGAAGUCGGAAUCGCUAGUAAUCGCGGAUCAGAACGCCGCGGUGAAUACGUUCUCGGGGUUU